Molecule: non-coding RNA, 30 nt
Filed under: Homo sapiens (human)
Lineage: Eukaryota; Metazoa; Chordata; Mammalia; Primates; Hominidae
Source: RNAcentral
UCUCCCAAGAUGUGCCCUAGAGUCUAUGGU